Molecule: ribosomal RNA, 255 nt
Filed under: uncultured bacterium
Lineage: Bacteria
Description: partial 16S ribosomal RNA
Rfam family: Bacterial small subunit ribosomal RNA
Source: RNAcentral
CGGACGGGUGAGUAACGCGUGGGGAACCUGCCCUGUACAGGGGGAUAACACUUAGAAAUAGGUGCUAAUACCGCAUAAGCGCACAGUAUCGCAUGAUACAGUGUGAAAAACUCCGGUGGUACAGGAUGGACCCGCGUCUGAUUAGCUGGUUGGCGGGGUAACGGCCCACCAAGGCGACGAUCAGUAGCCGGCCUGAGAGGGUGAACAGCCACAUUGGGACUGAGACACGGCCCAAACUCCUACGGAAGGCAGCAG